UGGCAGGAUGUCCUUGGUUUCUCUGC
This 26-nucleotide non-coding RNA is filed under the name Homo sapiens (human). Lineage: Eukaryota; Metazoa; Chordata; Mammalia; Primates; Hominidae. The record is from RNAcentral.